This 286-nucleotide long non-coding RNA is filed under the name Setaria viridis. RNAcentral's name for it is "long non-coding RNA (SVIR_LNC001782)". Lineage: Eukaryota; Viridiplantae; Streptophyta; Magnoliopsida; Poales; Poaceae. The record is from RNAcentral.
ACUAUAUGAAUGUCGAGAUGGCUUGGUUUUAUAUUCAUGAUGAUGCAAUUCAUAUUUUGGUGAAACCAUUUCGUUGCACAAACGAUUCGAUAUACAAAUAUAUAAAAUGCAAUCCGUUGCGAAAAACAUCUUCCAGUUGUGAAAAGAAAUACAUCCACCUGUUGCAAAAACAAAUAAUUGCAGCAACCCCAGUUCGUUGCAACAUCUUUUAUUGCAUCUAUAUACUUUCAAUUGCACAACAACUUAUUGCCACGGAAGAUAAAAGUUGCAAUAAUACAUAAUAACC